Aedes aegypti (yellow fever mosquito) is the source of this 72-nucleotide non-coding RNA. The record is from Rfam. Lineage: Eukaryota; Metazoa; Arthropoda; Insecta; Diptera; Culicidae.
GGCUCGGUAGCUUAGUUGAUAAAGCGCUCGUCUAGCAUACAUGAGUCCUGGGUUCAAAUCCCAGCCGAGUAC